UAAAAAUAAGCAGUAAGUGGGCUAUGUCCAACCACACGCACCCUUCUCCUUCACUUCUCCUUAGUAGCUCGUCCAGUUAGAUACGUUAAUUAAGAGUGUGCUUGGACGGGUAGGUCUGAACAUCAGCUGAGGACUGGCAGGUAGAAAUUUCUAGCACCCAAAUCUCACCAAAUACUCGACUCCCCCUCUCUCUACUCUCUCUCACUCUCUCACUAACAAUGCUCUACACUAACAUGUCAAGAGUUGGUCCAUCUUCAGCAUGAUUCCUGCAGCUCUCUCAUCAUCAAAAUCAUGUCUCUGGUUCCAGUGAUGUUCCGUUCACUGAUGAGGCUAGUGUCAUCGUUGGUUGAUCGCCCUGCGGCAUCCGUCACCACAUUACUAUACUACGGUGGUCUCUUGCCUCGGGACUUGAAUUUAGAACGAAUGGUUCAGCAAGAUCUCCUCCAUCGAGAGAACUACCUCUUCCAUUUCCUCAUUAACAUGUUGAGAUGCGUUUGGUAGAGAAUAUAGAAAUCCCACAACAACGCCACCCAGUGCACAAACACAGUGGCUCUUGAUCUAGUACUCUCUUCUCUCUUAUCUGUAUUUGUUUGUGAUAUUUGGAGAUAUGGGUAGGGGUGAUUUUGUUUUCCAGAAUGGGCCAAGGCUUCCAUUUGGAUUUUUGGAGUGAUAGAAAAUUGAGUUUAUCUGUAAUUUUGAAUUUGGAUUAGUGAACCUGAAAUUUCAUUUUUUGAUUCA
Long non-coding RNA from Macadamia integrifolia, 738 nucleotides. RefSeq lists it as uncharacterized. The record is from RefSeq and is a predicted model, not a curated record. Lineage: Eukaryota; Viridiplantae; Streptophyta; Magnoliopsida; Proteales; Proteaceae. The transcript is spliced from 2 exons.